This 93-nucleotide microRNA precursor is filed under the name Aotus nancymaae (Ma's night monkey). RNAcentral describes it as "miRNA (ENSANAG00000009215.1)". Lineage: Eukaryota; Metazoa; Chordata; Mammalia; Primates; Aotidae. The record is from RNAcentral.
GGAGAAUUGCUUGAGCCUGGGAGGUGGAGGUUGCAGUGAGCUGAGAUCACGCGACUGCACCCCAGUCUGGGUAACAGAGUGAGACUCUGUCUC